CUACUUUCUAGAAUGCACGUGUCACUGGUUUCUCCCUCAUGUUUCUUUUACACCGUGAAGAAAAAAGAAGAAGAGGACGACGACCAAGUGGUGUUACAAUAGGACACUGAAGCAUUAGCCCUUAAGUAACAGCAAGCCGAGGCAUUGUGAAACAGAGCCCAUCUCUGAUCCCUGUACGUCUUGCUGUAUUGUAGAAACUAGAAACCCAUGGCAUUUUCGUGAAGAAAUAAAGACACCCCAAAAAGAUAUUAAUACUAUAUCUCUCUUCCUUUUCUUUUGCAGACGAGGAGGAGAUUUGUUACACUUCCUUUCUUGGUAUGUUUCGCUUCCAAAUAGCUGAGAUUCUCUGGAAUUUUGGGUUCUUUUGGCUUCAAAUGAUUUUUUACUUGUUUUUCUGUAUGUGUUUUGGUUCACUAGUAUAUAAAAGCGUGCGACAUGGUGAAUAUAUAUCUAAAAAUUUUUGAUUUGGAAUUUGGAAUAGGAAUGCUUUGGAACGAAGAAAGAGCUUAGUACUGUUUCAUGCCUUUUUGGCUUCUGAAUUGCCGCAAUAUUUUAGCUCCUUGGGUUUUCAAGGGGAAGAGAUCCACAAAAUAGGCUGAUUUUCUUAGGUAUUUGCUUUAAUGAACGCAAUUCUAGUCGUUGGGUGGUAGCUUAGUCAUGCUAAUUGUGUUGAUUUCGCGUGCGGUUCACGUCGUGGCUUUGAUUCUUUAUUAUUAUUAUUAUUGUGGAUCUUCAUAGGACAUGGGAUAUGGAUAUGAAAAUAACAAUAAAUCAUUUCCAUAUGCAAUUUGAAUUGUAUUUGCGUUUAGGCUAAACUGGAUUAUGGUAUAGACCGCCAUGUUUCACCGUGGGGGCAAUUCCAAUCAGGAUCAGGGGGAUGAUUCACUGCAACAAGAGUCUAAGGUCAAUGAGCUUAGGAAUGCCAUUGGACCCAUAACAGGACGCAGUUUGCAAUGUUGCACUGAUGCAUGUUUAAGAAGAUAUCUGGAAGCUCGGAGCUGGAAUGUAGACAAAGCAAAGAAAAUGCUGGAAGAGACUCUUAAAUGGAGAUCUACUUAUAAGCCUGAAGAGAUUCGCUGGCAUGAGGUUGCUAUUGAAGGUGAGACUGGUAAAGUAUACAGAGCAAAUUUUCAUGACAGACGAGGAAGGACUGUACUUAUACUGAGGCCAGGA
This 1173-nucleotide unclassified non-coding RNA is filed under the name Hevea brasiliensis (rubber tree). The record is from RNAcentral. Lineage: Eukaryota; Viridiplantae; Streptophyta; Magnoliopsida; Malpighiales; Euphorbiaceae.